RNAcentral lists this ribosomal RNA (545 nucleotides) under Candida tropicalis. Its description in RNAcentral is "eukaryotic LSU rRNA". It matches the Rfam family "Eukaryotic large subunit ribosomal RNA", at positions 96 to 657 of the family's 3401-position model. Lineage: Eukaryota; Fungi; Ascomycota; Pichiomycetes; Serinales; Debaryomycetaceae. The record is from RNAcentral.
GAGCGGCAAAAGCUCAAAUUUGAAAUCUGGCUCUUUCAGAGUCCGAGUUGUAAUUUGAAGAAGGUAUCUUUGGGUCUGGCUCUUGUCUAUGUUUCUUGGAACAGAACGUCACAGAGGGUGAGAAUCCCGUGCGAUGAGAUGAUCCAGGCCUAUGUAAAGUUCCUUCGAAGAGUCGAGUUGUUUGGGAAUGCAGCUCUAAGUGGGUGGUAAAUUCCAUCUAAAGCUAAAUAUUGGCGAGAGACCGAUAGCGAACAAGUACAGUGAUGGAAAGAUGAAAAGAACUUUGAAAAGAGAGUGAAAAAGUACGUGAAAUUGUUGAAAGGGAAGGGCUUGAGAUCAGACUUGGUAUUUUGUAUGUUACUUCUUCGGGGGUGGCCUCUACAGUUUAUCGGGCCAGCAUCAGUUUGGGCGGUAGGAGAAUUGCGUUGGAAUGUGGCACGGCUUCGGUUGUGUGUUAUAGCCUUCGUCGAUACUGCCAGCCUAGACUGAGGACUGCGGUUUAUACCUAGGAUGUUGGCAUAAUGAUCUUAAGUCGCCCGUCUUGA